Molecule: ribosomal RNA, 1824 nt
Filed under: Alteromonas sp.
Lineage: Bacteria; Pseudomonadati; Pseudomonadota; Gammaproteobacteria; Alteromonadales; Alteromonadaceae
Description: bacterial LSU rRNA
Rfam family: Archaeal large subunit ribosomal RNA
Source: RNAcentral
CAACUGGGGGAUCGCUCGGCUCGAGUGCCGAUGAAGGUCGUGACAAGCUGCGAUAAGCUGCGGGGAGACGCAAGAAUGUCUUGGAUCCGCAGAUGGCUGAAUGGGACUUCCUGUUUCUUCGGAAACAAUCGCGAUGCGAUAGGGAACCCCCCGAAUUGAAGCAUCUUAGUAGGGGGAGGAAAUGAAAUCAACAGAGAUUCCGUGAGUAGUGGCGAAUGAAAACGGAAUAGGACAAGCCGAAUCCCGACUCGAAAGUGAGGGAGAUGUGGUUUGCAGUCUUUUGUCUAAGUCAGUGAAGGAGAAGUUGCCUGGAACGGCACAGCCAAAGAGGGUGAAAGUCCCGUAACCAUACCUGAUAUGACCACGUGACUGUAAGAGAGUAGCGUGCGCUGGAAAUCGCGCGUGAAUAUGGGAGGCAGAAACUUCCAAUCCUAAAUACAACUCGAGACCGAUAGUUUACAAGUAACGUGAGUGAAAGCUGAAAAGUAUCCUUGGCGGGAUGUGAAAAGAACGUGAAACCAGUUGGGUACAGGCUGACAAGGCGUGAAAGCGAUGAUAUGAGCAGCGUCUUGUCGUGCGUUUAGAAAAAUGCCCCAGGGAGUUUUGAUCAAUGGCGAGGUUAAGGGGUUGAUCCCCGAAGCCGAAGGGAAACCGACAAGUCCGCAGCAGUUUACUGUGAGGGACGAAGUGUGCUCGCUUGGAGUCAAUGGUGGAAGACCUGAAGCCCGUCGAUCUAUGCCUGGCCAGAUUGAAGCCCGAUGAAAGUUGGGUGGAGGAUCGCACCGUUGCUGAUCUGCAAAUCGCUCGGACGAGCUGGGUAUAGGGGUGAAAGUCCAAUCGAGAUGGGCAAUAGCAGGUUCCGCGUGAGACUACUCGUAGGUAGACGUUCGUGGAGAUAGAUUACGCUGUAGAGCACUGAUUGUGCGUUUAGGGGGAGCGAUCCCUCGGCGUGCUGCCAAACUCCGAAGGUGUAAUCGUUGUAGAUACGAGCAGUGAGUGAUGGUGGGUAAGCUACCAUUACAAAAGGUGAACAAACCAGCCUGAAGUUAAGGUCCCUAAAUAUCAGUUAAGUGUCACAGACAAACCGUGUCCGUGGUCGAAAACAACCAGAAGGUGGGCUUAGAAGCAGCCAUCCUUGAAAGAGUUCGUAACAGAUCACUGGUCUAGCUUGCGGGCCGGGAAAAGGGACGGGGCUCAAACUGAUUACCGAUACUUCAGACCAUCGAAAGAUGAUGUGGUAACGCGGCGUCGUGCUUGGGUGGAAGGUAGGCUUUGAGGUCUACUGGACCGGGUACGAAUGAGAGUCUUGGGAAGAGUAGCAGCACAGUGUGGUGAGAAUCCGCACCGCCUUAUAAACCAGGGUUCCUCGGCACUGUUUAUCAGCCGAGGGUUAGCCGGUCCUAAGGUCAUUCUUAACCGAAAUGAUCGAAAGGGAAUAGCGUUAAUAUUCGUUAGCCCCUUGUACAAUUAAUGGCGACGGCUUGGGCAAAGCAUUCAGAUCAUAUGCCAGGUCUGUCUGUACCAAAUUUCUGGAGAACUGUCACAGUGAGAAGGAAAUAAAGUCCCAGGUCCCAUGAAAAGCCGUACAAGGUGACCGUACCGAGAACUGAAACAGGUGUUUUAGGGUGAGUAGCCUAAGGCGUAUCGGAUACAAGUAUCGCGAGGGAACUCGGCAAAAUGGCUCCGUAACUUCGGGAGAAGGAGUGCCAGAUCAGAGAUGAUCUGGUCGCAGUGACUAGGGAGCUCCGACUGUUUAAUAAAAACAUAGGGGACUGCCAGAUCGAAAGGUUGUGUAUAGUCCCUGAAUCCUGCUCAGUGCUGGUA